GAUGAACGCUGGCGGCGUGCCUAAUACAUGCAAGUCGAGCGGCAGCACGGUCUUCGGACUGGUGGCGAGCGGCGGACGGCUGAGUAACGCGUAGGAACAUGCCCUAAAGUGAGGAAUAACUGCCCGAAAGGGUGGCUAAUGCCGCAUGUGCUCUUCGGAGUAAAGCUUUAUGCGCUUUAGGAGUGGCCUGCGUCCGAUUAGCUAGUUGGUGAGGUAAAUGCUCACCAAGGCGACGAUCGGUAGCUGGUCUGAGAGGAUGAUCAGCCAGACUGGAACUGAGAACGGUCCAGACUCCUACGGGAGGCAGCAGUAGGGAAUUUUCCACAAUGGGCGAGAGCCUGAUGGAGCAACGCCGCGUGCAGGAUGAAUGCCUUCGGGUUGUAAACUGCUUUUAUGUGCGAAGAAUUUGACUGUAACACAUGAAUAAGGAUCGGCUAACUACGUGCCAGCCGCCGCGGUAA
This 461-nucleotide ribosomal RNA is filed under the name uncultured bacterium. RNAcentral's name for it is "partial 16S ribosomal RNA". It matches the Rfam family "Bacterial small subunit ribosomal RNA", at positions 28 to 523 of the family's 1533-position model. The record is from RNAcentral.